This 433-nucleotide long non-coding RNA is filed under the name Gallus gallus (chicken). RNAcentral describes it as "long non-coding RNA NONGGAT011639". Lineage: Eukaryota; Metazoa; Chordata; Aves; Galliformes; Phasianidae. The record is from RNAcentral.
GCAGCGAUCACAGUAAGACGAGCUGUCAUCGCUCAGUGCAGCGGGCAGCGCAGGGACAUCAGCGCCCAUGUCGCCGUGCAAUGACCUCCCGCAGCCCCUGGCAAUGCCUGCGUCCCCGGCGGGUCUCCUCGCGCUAAGCCUUGCUGGCUUUGUAUCUGAGCUGUGCGAUAGCCUUUGCCCUCCCUCGCUCCUCUUCUCUGCCUGCAACGACAGCGGAACCUCUUCUCUCGCAGCAAAAAGACAAAACAGUAAGCAGCAAAUGUCCUAAAGAAGGGGUCAUGGAAAGUCAGAUUACUCACCGCAAAGAAAAACAUGGAAACAUUCAAACAAGAGAGGAUAAAGAAAUCCAUUGGACCAGAAACUUCACACCGGUGAAGCAGAAGCCAUCCAAGGAGUUGAGGCCCAUGCUGGGGGCCGUCACGCUGGGCCUCAU